UUUUCUAGGUAGAGCAAUGAUAGACAUAAUACUGUUGCCUUCUGACAAAGAUCCUCCUAAAUUAAAAGAGUGCUUGCCCACUGUAGGGGCAUUGAAACAUCUGAAGGAAUGGCAUUCAGCAAAAGUUAUCAUGGCAGGCAAUCACUGUGAGACUAAUUGUCAGAAAAUUGCAGAAUACCUUUCAGCUAAUGUUGUACCUUUAGAAGAGUUCAGCAAUGCCAUUGACUCAAGAGAAUUGUGGAGGGGAGAGAUUCAGAUACGGGAAAGAAAGGUAAACAGGUUUCUUGCUUUCACCAUAUACAACAAAGUAGGCCUUUGGACUUCAUUUCCAGUACAUCUGAAGCCGACACCAGUGUGCUCAGGAAGAUGCUCUGGAUUGACACUAGGUGGAGUUUUCUUCAGUGAUGGUGGCCCAUGAGCUGCAUGUUGCCACCAAGAGCAGUCUGUGACUUGUUCUACCCCCAACUGGAUUUUUAAUUUUAUUUGAUUUUAAUUAGUUAUAAUUUCACUAGUCAACGUGAUUAUGUUUUAGGAAUUACUGUUCUGCAGUGUGGCAUUUUGAAAACAGUAUUGGACAUUAGCGAAGUUUGUAUUGUUGAAACAAGUAUUUUAAUUUUAUUGCCUGUGUUAGCCACUGGAAAAGUAUUGGGACUGGCUACCUAUAGUAUGCUUAGGUGAUUUCUACCGUAUACAAACCAGCUAACCUGGUUUAAAAGUUUUACUAGACCCUAGAUGUCUCAACUGUGUGAUGAAAAUUGUCACUUAGAUUUCUUUAGUCAUUCCUAAAUUUCUGAGGUCAGUGUUGGUGGUUCUUGUAAGUUACAUCUAUUUUGAAAUGUGUUCAUAUUAAUUCAUGUAAGUUUUAUAGAUAGAAAAAUUAAGAGAAUUUCUUAAUUCUUGUUCAGGAUAGUAUGUCAUCAUGAAUGGGCUCUUGCACUCCCUUUGGCUUUUUGUACUUUUUUCUCCCUUUAUCUUUCCUAUUGGCUUUAUGAAAUGUCCAAAAAAGCAGUAAGGAUAAUCUAGUCUAUCUAGAUUAACAUACUGUUCCAUACUAGUUUUAGGAAGAUUCAGUUUUUAGGGAAACUGUCUCUGCAAAUGGUGUUACUAGGAAUAAACAAACAAACAAACAAACAAACAAAUCAGUCAAUCAGCAUUCAGCCAAAGUGGAAGAGUUGACUAUGUGGGUAAGAGAAUGGCCUUUGUUUUCAUUUUCUCAAAUCAUGUGCUUACAUGUAGACAGAUCAUGCCAGAGUUGUUCUCAUGUGAUUCUUUUCUUCCUCUAAUAUGAAAUUAAGCACUCAUUAAUCUACUUUCAAACUUGGUGUUACUUCGUUGCUUUCAGCCAGCAGUCAUUCUAGUAGACUCUGGAGUUAUAAUGCCUGUACUCGAAUCCUGACAUGGUUCAAGUUUUGCAUGACAUCUUGGUACCAUAGUUGUGUUUUUCUCUAAGACAGGGGUGAUAACAAUAAAUAAUUCAUAAGGUUUAUUUGAGUUAUUUAGAGUACAAAAUAAAGACACAGUAAGUCCUGGCUGUUAGUAUUGUCGCGUCCUUACUGUUAACAGCAGCUCUAUCCCAGCUUCUGUGGUAACUGCGUUUCUCACCACCCGCAUACUUCGGAGGUGAACCCUGCAAGGCACUCACUCUACUAAGUACCUCAUAGUGAAGAACACAGGCAGCUCUGUCUGGCUGUAUCUUACAGACUGGUAGGAAGCCAGGUAUUGAAUGUGUACUGGGAAAGUUGCUUGGUCGUGUGGGUUCAUGAAACAGCUAGUAUACUCUUGCCAACUAACCAAGGGUCACGGAAAGCGUUUUUGUGAAAAGUUGAUGUUCAAGCUAAUAGAAUGAUGUAUACCCAAUAGGAAGAACGACCCUUAGAAUCCAUGUAUCAAAAAAAAAAAAA
Cricetulus griseus (Chinese hamster) is the source of this 1901-nucleotide non-coding RNA. The record is from RefSeq and is a predicted model, not a curated record. NCBI's taxonomy places the organism in Eukaryota, Metazoa, Chordata, Mammalia, Rodentia, Cricetidae.